GAAGGAGUAAGCGGUAGAAGAUGGAUGGAUGGAUGGAUAGUCUACUUUUCAUGUAUAGAAUUAUGGCUGUGGAAGUGAACAAAUCCUGGAGGGUGGGCAGGUUUGUACCUAUCCUUUCAGAUGAUCUAAUGGUGCGUUGCAGCUUGUUCAGUCUGCUCCUGCAUCAGAAUGGACAUUCAGUCUGUUUUUGUAGGAAGAAAAUCCUCUGCUGGAACUUUUUAGCAAUCCAGUCCAUACUGGCUCUCCAUUUUAGCUGAAUGCUACUAUGGAGGACUUCAGGUUCGUAUCUGAUCCCCCCACCAGAGAUAUUCAACACAAAAUUUAAGCAGAUCACUGCAAGGAAAUUGGGAGGCUGGACCAUAAUGAAAGAAACAGAAGUCAUUGGUUCUUGCAAACCGGACAGCUUCUCCCUCCUCAUCCUCCCAGCUAUGUGGGUAAUAUAGAUAUUAUUUCAGCCUCAGUCCCAUUUUCUCCUCAAUUAAAUUAUGAUGUCCUCGACCCAUCCUGGCUGGGUGAGAGAGAGGGGAAAAGAUAUGAUGUGAAAGCUUUAUUGAUGUCUACAAUUACUGGCUAGGCCCAGCUGUAGGCUCUACGUGAAAGAGGGUGGGAGGUUAGGGGCCUUAUCCGAGCCUCAGAGCGACCCAGGGCCAGCAGGGAGCACCAUCAUAACUUCCAUUGUCCGCCUCCUUUGAUGGAUGAGGGAGAGAGAGAUCUCCUGAGGAUUCAGUGCUACCAGUGCCCACUGCAAUACUGUGGUGUUGUGCCUCUCCCUCAUCCAUUAGGCUAGACAUAUGAAACUGCUAUAGUUUUUCCAAAGCAGUGGAAGACAGGGCAUAAAAUAUCUGUUGGGAAAGUGAGUGGAUAAUACUAUAAUACCACAUUUGUGUUUUACAGUAACAUCCAUUCCAUAAAAAAAAUGACAAAAC
Long non-coding RNA from Ictalurus punctatus (channel catfish), 926 nucleotides. The record is from Ensembl. NCBI's taxonomy places the organism in Eukaryota, Metazoa, Chordata, Actinopteri, Siluriformes, Ictaluridae.